GGCCUGCCGGUUCCCCUCAGGGGCUAAAGCCCAUCGUACUUUUGUCGCUUUCGGCACGACUGAAGUCGUGCCCUGUUACAAAGCCAAAACAAAUCAAGUUUUUCCGCAGCCUUUGAAGUCGUG
RNAcentral lists this unclassified non-coding RNA (123 nucleotides) under uncultured fungus. Its description in RNAcentral is "sequence contains ITS1". The record is from RNAcentral. Lineage: Eukaryota; Fungi.